AGGACGAACGCUGGCGGCGUGCUCAUACAUGCAAGUCAAACGAGAAUCUGACUUCGGUCAGAGGAAAGUGGCGGACGGGUGAGUAAAAUGUAGAGAAUCUGCCCUUAAGCGGGGGACAACAGUUGGAAACGACUGCUAAUACCCCAUAUGCGCGUAGCUGAGAUGCUAUUCGUGAAAACUCCGGUGCUUAAGGAUGAGUCUGCAUCUGAUUAGCUAGUAGGCGGUGUAAUGGACCACCUAGGCGACGAUCAGUAGCUGGUUUGAGAGGAUGAUCAGCCACAAUGGGACUGAGACACGGCCCAUACUCCUACGGGAGGCAGCAGUAGGGAAUUUUGCGCAAUGGGGGAAACCCUGACGCCAGCAACGCCGCGUGAUUGAAGAAGCCCUUCGGGGUGUAAAGAUCUGUCAGUGGGGACGAAACUUGACGGUACCCACAGAGGAAGCAUCGGCUAACUCCGUGCCAGCCGCGGC
This 471-nucleotide ribosomal RNA is filed under the name uncultured bacterium. RNAcentral describes it as "bacterial SSU rRNA". It matches the Rfam family "Bacterial small subunit ribosomal RNA", at positions 26 to 518 of the family's 1533-position model. The record is from RNAcentral.